GCGCCCGUAGCUCAGCUGGAUAGAGCGUCUGCUUGCGGAGCAGAAGGCCGGGGGUUCGAAUCCCUCCGGGCGUACCA
Molecule: transfer RNA, 77 nt
Filed under: Chloroflexota bacterium
Lineage: Bacteria; Bacillati; Chloroflexota
Description: Chloroflexi bacterium (soil metagenome) tRNA-Arg
Rfam family: tRNA
About the family: Transfer RNA (tRNA) molecules are approximately 80 nucleotides in length.
Source: RNAcentral